CAGCUUUCAUCAUUCCCUACAAGUUUAAUCCAGUGAUUUAUGCUUUUUAAGCUCAUAUUCGGGGGGAUUCUGUUGAGAAAGUCACCCAGACAGACAGAAGACCUCGUGGGAUUAAUAGGAUGUGUGCCAGGUUCAAAGCCGGUGAGGUUAGUCCUUCCUGAGUAAGAAAAAAACAACCUUAACAUGGUCGCCCCUCUUCCAGGGUCUAAUCACGUUAAUGACUUUGGCUAAAGAGAACCAGCUGAGGUCAAAGAGUUCAGAGGAGGACCCAGACGUUAGACAAGGACUGUGUGGGAGAGAAGCCAUUGCCAGUUGGAAGCUUUUCCUAUUCAAAGUGCGAAAGACACCGUUUUCUUGGAGGAAAUCUGCCUUCUGUGUGAUGCAAGGUAUGUUGUGAAGUUGUCUCCAGUGCUGUUGGCAAGGUCCUUGGGUCAUCAAAGAGCUUGUAUGAGAAGAGGAACAGGGGUGAGAGGUAGUCAGAGGGUGAAAGUGCUUCCCAAGGAAACCUGAAGACAUGAGUUCACUUCCUGGAACUCUCAUUCAAAUCUGAUCUAAAGACCCUGUGUUGGCAUUUUGUCUAGGCUCUGCCCCACAGUUACCCAGCAACAUUCAGGGGUGUCUGAGUCAAUAUAAAAGGGGCUGUUUGGCCCCUCUGCUCUCUCUUGUCUUCUUGCUCCCCCUCUGUCCUCUCACCCCUUUCCCCUCUUUUUCUCUCCC
This 717-nucleotide long non-coding RNA is filed under the name Rattus norvegicus (Norway rat). Its description in RNAcentral is "long non-coding RNA NONRATT032656". The record is from RNAcentral. Lineage: Eukaryota; Metazoa; Chordata; Mammalia; Rodentia; Muridae.